GACGAACGCUGGCGGCGUGCUUAACACAUGCAAGUCGAGCGGUAAGGCCCUUUCGGGGGUACGACGAGCGGCGAACGGGUGAGUAACACGUGGGUGACCUGCCCUCCAGCUCUGGGAUAAGCCUGGGAAACCGGGUCUAAUACCGGAUAUGACUCCAUGACGCAUGUUGUGGGGUGGAAAGCCUUGUGCGGCUGAGGAUGGGCCCGCGGCCUAUCAGCUUGUUGGUGGGGUGAUGGCCUACCAAGGCGACGACGGGUAGCCGGCCUGAGAGGGCGACCGGCCACACUGGGACUGAGACACGGCCCAGACUCCUACGGGAGGCAGCAGUGGGGAAUCUUGCGCAAUGGGCGAAAGCCUGACGCAGCGACGCCGCGUGAGGGAUGAC
RNAcentral lists this ribosomal RNA (385 nucleotides) under uncultured bacterium. Its description in RNAcentral is "bacterial SSU rRNA". It matches the Rfam family "Bacterial small subunit ribosomal RNA", at positions 28 to 412 of the family's 1533-position model. The record is from RNAcentral.